UAAGACGAACCGUGCGAACGUUGUUCGGAUUCACUGGGCUUAAAGGGCGCGUAGGCGGGUCGGCAAGUCUGGGGUGAAAUCUUUCAGCUCAACUGGAAAACAGCCCCCGAUACUGCCGGUCUUGAGGGAGGUAGGGGCGUGUGGAACUUCCGGUGGAGCGGUGAAAUGCGUAGAUAUCGGAAGGAACGCCGGUGGCGAAAGCGACGCGCUGGACCUCUUCUGACGCUGAGGCGCGAAAGCCAGGGGAGCAAACGGGAUUAGAUACCCCGGUAGUCCUGGCCCUAAACGAUGGGUACUAGGUAGUGGACCAGGCAUGGGUUCCCUGCCGAAGCGAAAGUGCUAAGUACCCCGCCUGGGGAGUAUGGUCGCAAGGCUG
Molecule: ribosomal RNA, 376 nt
Filed under: uncultured bacterium
Lineage: Bacteria
Description: bacterial SSU rRNA
Rfam family: Bacterial small subunit ribosomal RNA
Source: RNAcentral